UACGUAGGGUGCAAGCGUUGUCCGGAAUUAUUGGGCGUAAAGAGCUCGUAGGCGGUUUGUCGCGUCUGCUGUGAAAACUGGAGGCUCAACCUCCAGCCUGCAGUGGGUACGGGCAAACUAGAGUGCGGUAGGGGAGAUUGGAAUUCCUGGUGUAGCAGUGAAAUGCGUAGAUAUCAGGAGGAAUACCGAUGGCGAAGGCAGGUCUCUGGGCUGACACUGACGCUCAUGCACGAAAGGCGUGGGGAGCAAACAGG
RNAcentral lists this ribosomal RNA (254 nucleotides) under uncultured bacterium. Its description in RNAcentral is "partial 16S ribosomal RNA". It matches the Rfam family "Bacterial small subunit ribosomal RNA", at positions 524 to 776 of the family's 1533-position model. The record is from RNAcentral.